This 735-nucleotide ribosomal RNA is filed under the name uncultured bacterium. RNAcentral's name for it is "bacterial SSU rRNA". It matches the Rfam family "Bacterial small subunit ribosomal RNA", at positions 687 to 1420 of the family's 1533-position model. The record is from RNAcentral.
UGCGUAGAUAUCUGGAGGAACAUCGGUGGCGAAAGCGGCUCNNUGGGACGACACUGACGCUGAGGCUCGAAAGCGUGGGGAGCGAACGGGAUUAGAUACCCCGGUAGUCCACGCUGUAAACGUUGUGCACUAGGUGUGGGGGGUGUCGACCCCCUCCGUGCCGGAGCUAACGCAUUAAGUGCACCGCCUGGGGAGUACGGUCGCAAGACUGAAACUCAAAGGAAUUGACGGGGGCCCGCACAAGCGGUGGAGCAUGUGGUUUAAUUCGAGGCAACGCGAAGAACCUUACCCAGGCUUGACAUCCCGAGACCGCCAUGGAAACAUGGUUUUCCCUUCGGGGACUCGGAGACAGGUGUUGCAUGGNNNUCGUCAGCUCGUGUCGUGAGAUGUUGGGUUAAGUCCCGCAACGAGCGCAACCCUUAUCUUUAGUUACCAGCGGUUCGGCCGGGCACUCUAGGGAGACUGCCGGUGAUAAGCCGGAGGAAGGUGGGGACGACGUCAAGUCAUCAUGGCCUNUAUGCUUGGGGCUACACACGUGCUACAAUGGCCGGUACAAUGGGUCGCGAACCCGCGAGGGGGAGCCAAUCUCAAAAAGCCGGUCUCAGUUCGGAUUGGAGNCUGCAAUUCGACUCCAUGAAGCCGGAAUCGCUAGUAAUCGCGCAUCANNNACGGCGCGGUGAAUACGUUCCCGGGCCUUGUACACACCGCCCGUCACAUGACCCGAGUCGGGUGCAC